AAUUAAUUUUUUUAAAAAAGUUUCGUAAAAUUUGUUAUUAUUACUUGUAAUGAAAUAUAUUUUAAAUUAAUUUUUCAACGUAUAUUUAAAGACUUUCAGCCUUUUCUUUUCUGGAGUUUCGUGGUAACUUCAUAAGUUACAAGGGAAAGAGUACUUUAAUACUGAAAGCUCUUGUUUGACGUAUAUGGAAAAUACGUUUUUUUUUAAAAUAUAACUUCGGUGGUAAUGAUGCAACAUAAAGCAGAAUUUUAAAUUAUAAAAUCGCUUUCAAGUUUUAAUAUUCUAUUAAUCUGUUGUAAGAAAUAUUUUUAAACGAAUUUAUGUUAUACAAAAGAUGGACAAAUAAUAAAAAUUUGUGGAUCUUUCAUGCAAUAAAUUAUGCACAUCAUUACAUACACAAACUUUUAUUAAAAUCAAAAUUUUUCAAAUCAGAUCCUCGUAAUAUCGUGAAGAUUUUUGAGAAUGAUUCCUAUAUAAUUAUCCUCUUAUUGUUAGAAUUACUAUUUUUUGCGAUACCAAUAUUUUUUUUGUCAAUUUCCUUAAUUUUUUUUUUAUAACCCUAAAAAAAAUUUCUAAAAGAAAUUCAAGAAUCUACUUCAUCACUUAGAAUAUUUUGUAUAUCUUUCUAAAAUAUUAAAAAAUAUGUUUCGAAUAAAAUAUUGAACGUAAAAAGAGAUAUGACUUAAUAUUACUACCAUAUAGUACAUUGAUAUAUUAGUGUGCAUAAUACUAUAGCAAAAUUCUCUUCUACGUAAAUACUUGCGUAUAAAAUUGUAAAAACUGAAAAAUUAAAAAUCAAACAAUGACAGACGCGUGAACACUCGAGUUCCUCGUAAUUACGUUUCAAAUGACGAUAGUUUCCGAUCUCUUCUAACCGCAUCUACGCAAGCUAGCCAAUAGAUACACGAAAGCGAGAGAUACGACACGUGCACGCGACAGAUGCUCUCUAGUAUAUUGCAUUUGGAUACCGCAAAUGGCAUACCGGAGCCAUGGGUCGAUAUUACCGAUUCCUUGUGGAUCGACAUAUAUUAAACGGUUGGCCCAGUGAACUUGUUUCAAGAUGUCUUAGCUUUCGUUUGUUGGGAUUAAUUAAACGUGUAUGCGUACAUAUAUCGGACGUCCUUUUCUCACACAAAGAGAAACGAGAGAAUUUCAGCGAGGCAGCCAAUUAGCGAAAUGAAAGGCCCCAAUGAAAUUCGAAGCCUCAGGUGUUGGUAUCUUCGACACUCUCUGUCUUUAUAGAGAAAUUGUGCGUAUUGUCGUCAAAUUCGGAUGGAUAUUCGCUUCGAACGAGAAUUGGAAAAUUGUCCAACCAUUUUCGUUUUCGUCUCGUCGAGGAAAUGGGCUGGCGUCCGUUUGUGUCUUGCACAAAUAUAUCGACGAUAAUUGGAAUUUUCUCUUUCUUAUAAACGUGUGCUUUAAUUCAGCGGGUUUUGCUCUUUCUUUUCUUCUAUUAUCAUUUAUCGAAGAGCUUUAAUUAAUUCGAAUUAUUUGAUACGUUCGAUGUAUAUUCUCAUAAUAUUAUUUUUUUCGAUAUAUUAUCGGUGAAAGAAUUGAAUGAGACAGAAAAACGGGAAAAUGGUGGAAAUUUCAUUUAUUACAAUUAAUGGAGAUUUUCAAAGGAGAUUAAAAAAAAGGACGAGAAACUAAUAGAAUUUGUAUUCGUCUCUCGAUCUUUUAUAUUAUAUAGAAUAUUGGAAAUAUUUUAAUAUUAGAUACGUUUUUUCCCCGCAAGAUGAGGAAUAACAUCAGAUUUUAGUAUAUGUAAGAUAUAAAAAAAAUGCAUAAAAGCUUAGCAGUAGUAAUUAUUUUUUAAUUACAUCAAUAAUUAAUUUAAAAAUAAACUAAUUGUCGGAAAAAAAAUAGGUAGAAAUAAAAUAACUUUAAAUAAUGGUUACAAUUAAUACAAUAUUAGAUGUUAAAUCUUACAUAUCACAUACGAUUAUGGGAUAAUAAUUAAAAAAGAGAAGAAUAAUUUUAUGCAUUUUCAUAUUUAUAAUUAAAUAUAACGUUACAAUUUAAUUUAAUAAUUUAAUAUUAGUUAAUAUUAGUUAUCCGAUAAGUUAAUAAUUAAAGCAAAUGUAAAUUUUUGUAUUGGAAAAUUUAUAAUUAAAUACAUAAAGUAACCAAGGUAUAUUAGAUUUCAUUAUUAAUACGUCAAUACAUUGUUAAAUUCAAAUUUUCUAUGCAAAUUCUUACUUUCUUUAAAAAUAAAUAUUUACUUUUAUAUUUUACAUAUUUCUCUCUCUCUCUCUCUCUCUCUCUCUCUAUAUAUAUAUAUAUAUAUAUAUGUAUACAUAUAUUAUACAUUUUUACAUAUCUAGUAUCUUUUGAUUUUAUCUCUAGAUAUUUUUUGAUCUCUAUUAUAUAUAAUUGUUGAUUCAUUUUUCAAAUUCAUUCGUAUCAUUUUAGAUAAGUAUUCUUAAUUCCCUCGCAAUUAUUUAUUAUUUCAUUUAUAUUCAUUUUAAAUUUCCAUACAUGUUUAUCUUCGAUUUAAUUAUAUUUUUCUCGCAAAAAUUUGAAUUUUAGACAAUUCAGCAUCAGAUAACACUCUAAUAGGAUUCAAAUAGGAAGAAACACGUGGAUUUUUUUUAUACAAUUGCUCAUUUAUUCUUACACACAUUUAUUAAAAUUAAGAAAUCAACUGAUCGUUCGUUUUAAAUUCUUUUUUUUUAUCUCUAUUUAUUCUUUAUACGUGCACUUUUCUAGAAUUAAUUUUAAUUCUAAUCCCUUCAGAGGAUGAAAUAAAUAUAAAUAAAUUUCCAAAACGAUUAACUUGUUAACUUUUAUCAAUAAAUAAUAUAUCAUUACUUAUACGAAUUAUAUCUGAUACGUUCAAUAAAUGGUGUUAAAUUGAAGAUUGAAAUUUAAGAUUCUUCUCCUUUUCUAUCGCAUUGUUCUCACCGAUAAAUUGAUAAGAAGUUUACGGUAUUUAGUUUAUUUGAUAUUUAUCAGUACGAUCGAGUAAAUAAUUUUUCAUAAAAUUAAAAUCAAAAUAAUGGACGAGGAUGAAAGAUUUCAAUCGGUAUUGUUCACAGAUUAUCUCUGUGAUGUUUGUACGUAUGUAUUUGCGAUUGACACCAUCGAGUUGGUCAAGCAGCAUAGCCAGAUUGCAUGACUAGAUUGCGUGACUAGAUUGCAUGGCCGGAUAUCGGUGUCGGCAUACAAUGCAGCAUCUAUUGCAUUGCAUUAACGUAAGAUAGCGCACCUGUUCAAUGCAGCGUUACCCCUCUAUUCCACUCUACACCAGAAAUAAUUUAUACCGCGAUAUUUCUAUCGAUAUUGUAUCGUACAGUUUUUUUCAAUGCUGUUGGAUAAAAUGAUAGCAAUAAAUACAAGGAAAAAUAAAAAAAAAAAAGAAGAAGAAAAAGAAAAA
Molecule: long non-coding RNA, 3376 nt
Organism: Apis cerana (Asiatic honeybee)
Lineage: Eukaryota; Metazoa; Arthropoda; Insecta; Hymenoptera; Apidae
Source: RefSeq, a predicted model, not a curated record